RNAcentral lists this long non-coding RNA (1012 nucleotides) under Daphnia pulex (common water flea). RNAcentral describes it as "uncharacterized LOC124199895, transcript variant X2". The record is from RNAcentral. Lineage: Eukaryota; Metazoa; Arthropoda; Branchiopoda; Diplostraca; Daphniidae.
AUAACAUAGCCUAAAAUUUAUACUUGGCAAAUCCAUCUGAUAAUGUGGCCUGAAACAGCUGUAUAUUUUCCCAAAAUGUCUCUUGCUGCAAGCCCCGGCUGUGCGUUUCGUCUCAUGUAGAAAUACUCCACAACAGUAAAAGUUAUCAUUGUGGUGAAGUCUGAGCUUCUUCAUUGCAGUCCAAUGCGCUGUGCUGUGCAAUUUGUUGCAGCCAGCUGGCGAAAGGGGUUCUUCUUGCAGGCUUGCUACCUGUAGCGUUUGUAGCUUUGUCAGAUUCAGAAACACUUCCGAACAAUUUAAAAGUAGGAUUAGCAGCCUCUUGAGGUCUGAGUUGCAGUCCAAUGUGUACAUGAAUUUUGUGCAGCCAGCUAGUAAACAGUGUGGUGAGCUGUUGCAUGCAGACUGCGGUGUUGGUGUCGUUCGUUCAUUUAACUUUGGACCGUUCAGUCGUUCGUUUAUCGUAAGAAAUCUGUCACUUGUCGUAGGUGUGUAAAAUUGUGUCCACCAGGUGUCAAAGUAGGUUAGCAUUUAGUUCUUGAUGUCGAAGAAAAGUGACAUCUUAGUUUGUGCUUCUAAAUAAGUGCUUUUGUGGAAAAUCACCGUGGUCAGUUUUAUUGUUGAGCUGUUUAUGGUGUUGCUGUUUGGGGUACAGUGGUUUUGCAGUCAUUUUCCAGUUGAGAGAUGCGCUGAAAUGGAGCUUGUGCAGACUUGCAGUUGAACACCAUACUUUAAUGUGUCAUUUUCCUAUGUUGGUGUCCAUGCAGUGGUGAUCUGUUGUGGAAAAUAGUCGAUGUUGCCUGAUGGCUGUUGGGCUUAUUUUAUCGGCAGCAUUUUGUCGAUCUGUCGUCGCUUGCCACCUGUACCGCCAUUGAGUUGAUUCGUUUGCCGCCGAACUGUUGAAACUAAGAAGACGUUGCUGAAAUUCAAGAUUGAUCAAUUAAUAAUGUUUAUAAAUUAAAAGUGCAUAUCUGGGCUCCCUUCUUCAGUGGCCCCGUUUCCCUAAAUAACCACU